Molecule: ribosomal RNA, 425 nt
Filed under: uncultured bacterium
Lineage: Bacteria
Description: bacterial SSU rRNA
Rfam family: Bacterial small subunit ribosomal RNA
Source: RNAcentral
GUGGGGAAUAUUGGACAAUGGGCGCAAGCCUGAUCCAGCCAUGCCGCGUGAGUGACGAAGGCCUUAGGGUUGUAAAGCUCUUUUGGCGGGGACGAUAAUGACGGUACCCGCAGAAUAAGCCCCGGCUAACUUCGUGCCAGCAGCCGCGGUAAUACGAAGGGGGCUAGCGUUGUUCGGAAUUACUGGGCGUAAAGCGCACGUAGGCGGAUGUGCCAGUCAGGGGUGAAAUCCCGAGGCUCAACCUCGGAACUGCCUCCGAUACAGCACGUCUCGAGUCCGGAAGAGGUGAGUGGAAUUCCUAGUGUAGAGGUGAAAUUCGUAGAUAUUAGGAAGAACACCAGUGGCGAAGGCGGCUCACUGGUCCGGUACUGACGCUGAGGUGCGAAAGCGUGGGGAGCAAACAGGAUUAGAAACCCUGGUAGUCC